GAACUUUCUGUGGGAGAGAAAAACAAAGGAGAAAUUAUAGAUCCAUCAGUUUCAGAGGUGUAUAAUUAUAGAUCCAUCAGUUUCAGAGGUGUAUAAUUAUAGAUCCAUCAGUUUCAGAUGUGUAUAAUUAUAGAUCCAUCAGUUUCAGAGGUGUAUAAUUAUAGAUCCAUCAGUUUCAGAGGUGUAUAAUUAUAGAUCCAUCAGUUUCAGAGGUGUAUAAUUAUAGAUCCAUCAGUUUCAGAGGUGUAUAAUUAUAGAUCCAUCAGUUUCAGAGGUGUAUAAUUAUAGAUCCAUCAGUUUCAGAGGUGUAUAAUUAUAGAUCCAUCAGUUUCAGAGGUGUAUAAUUAUAGAUCCAUCAGUUUCAGAUGUUUAUAAUUAUAGAUCCAUCAGUUUCAGAGGUGUAUAAUUAUAGAUCCAUCAGUUUCAGAUGUGUAUAAUUAUAGAUCCAUCAGUUUCAGAUGUUUAUAAUUAUAGAUCCAUCAGUUUCAGAGGUGUAUAAUUAUAGAUCCAUCAGUUUCAGAUGUUUAUAAUUAUAGAUCCAUCAGUUUCAGAGGUGUAUAAUUAUAGAUCCAUCAGUUUCAGAGGUGUAUAAUUAUAGAUCCAUCAGUUUCAGAGGUGUAUAAUUAUAGAUCCAUCAGUUUCAGAGGUGUAUAAUUAUAGAUCCAUCAGUUUCAGAGGUUUAUAAUUAUAGAUCCAUCAGUUUCAGAGGUGUAUAAUUAUAGAUCCAUCAGUUUCAGAGGUGUAUAAUUAUAGAUCCAUCAGUUUCAGAGGUGUAUAAUUAUAGAUCCAUCAGUUUCAGAGGUGUAUAAUUAUAGAUCCAUCAGUUUCAGAGGUGUAUAAUUAUAGAUCCAUCAGUUUCAGAUGUUUAUAAUUAUAGAUCCAUCUGGAAAGGAAUUCAUCCAAGGCAGUGGAUCAAUCACAUGUAUUUAUUUAUAAAGCCCUUUUUACAUCA
Oncorhynchus keta (chum salmon) is the source of this 952-nucleotide long non-coding RNA. RefSeq lists it as uncharacterized. The record is from RefSeq and is a predicted model, not a curated record. The transcript is spliced from 4 exons. Lineage: Eukaryota; Metazoa; Chordata; Actinopteri; Salmoniformes; Salmonidae.